Long non-coding RNA from Antechinus flavipes (yellow-footed antechinus), 1162 nucleotides. RefSeq lists it as uncharacterized. The transcript is spliced from 3 exons. Lineage: Eukaryota; Metazoa; Chordata; Mammalia; Dasyuromorphia; Dasyuridae. The record is from RefSeq and is a predicted model, not a curated record.
UUCCCUUGACGGCCCUUUGCGAGAAUGCAGAAGAAGAGAAAGUGAAGACAUAUUAUCCCUGUUUGGGUGAUCUUUGGCUUCUGAUAUGACCAGAACUGUCCUUAAUUCCCACCCACCCUCCCCAAAUCUUUUUUGUCCCAUUUGGGAAAUGGAAUGGCCCAGGUACACCCAGGACGAGGGGGGUGGGGUCUAAGGAGCUGACCCCUCCCAUCCUCUCUGGAGCCCCGGAAAUGGACCGGUCCAGGUGCGAGUCCAGGGAGGGCGACCCCAAAUGACUGAUGGGUGAAAGGAAGUGAGAGGAUGCUCUCCUACUAUUUCCCCUACCCUUCAGUCAGAAACAACAGACCCUAAGCUCUGAGGACAGGAACAAUAAGGAACGAACCACCUGUUGAGAGUGGGCGGGACCUGGAAGCUCACCUGUCCUUCCUCCCCCACAAUGACAAUGGACCAACCCAGAAGCUUCUCCCUCUCGAGUCUCCGCCUAAUUAAAUUAGUUUAACGGAUUAACUGAUUUUCAUCAAAGUAAAACUCUGGAUGUGUCCCUCGGGGGUGACUGAGGAUUUCCUGACUUCACCUGCCCCAAGGGGACACUGGCUCUUCCCGCCACCUGGUGGAUGUGGCAAAGAACACGACAAAGAUGCGGAGGCGCUGGGUGCCCGGUCCCCAGAGCUAGAGUUUAAGAAAGUCCAGGGGGACCUUCUGCCAUCUAGCACGGACUUCUUCCCAUUCCAACGUCCCAAGACUUUCCCCUCCAGCCAAACUGGACGCUCAUCCCGAAGUCCCCGUGCCUUCUGGGGGUGAGGCUUGGCCAUUCCCCUCCCUGCCUCAGUUUCCUUACCUGUAAAUUAAAAGGAUUGGACUAAAGGAUCCCUAAAGGGCCUUCUAAACGCCUGUGGUCCUCUUGCUUUUAUUCGAGCUGUUCCCCAUAUCAGGAAUCCCUUCUUCCAUCCUCCAGCUCUGGCCCUCCUUCAGAGCUCAACUGAAAUGCUAGUUUGCCCAGAAAAGCCCCUUUCCUGGGACAUCUUUCACUCUCUCCCUUGCAUUUCGUGAUGGGCUUGAACAUUUGAAAUCCUGCUCCUAACGCUAACUGUGAUGUUGUGCAAAUCUCUGGAUCUCAGUUUCCUCCUUUAUGAAAUCAAGAAAAUAAUAUGCUUGCCCCCUG